This 468-nucleotide ribosomal RNA is filed under the name uncultured bacterium. Its description in RNAcentral is "partial 16S ribosomal RNA". It matches the Rfam family "Bacterial small subunit ribosomal RNA", at positions 28 to 507 of the family's 1533-position model. The record is from RNAcentral.
GACGAACGCUGGCGGCGUGCUUAACACAUGCAAGUCGAACGGAAAGGCCCUGCUUUUGUGGGGUGCUCGAGUGGCGAACGGGUGAGUAACACGUGAGUAACCUGCCCUUGACUUUGGGUUAACUUCAGGAAACUGGGGCUAAUACCGGAUAGGAGCUCCUGCUGCAUGGUGGGGGUUGGAAAGUUUCGGCGGUUGGGGAUGGACUCGCGGCUUAUCAGCUUGUUGGGGGGGUAGUGGCUUACCAAGGCUUUGACGGGUAGCCGGCCUGAGAGGGUGACCGGCCACAUUGGGACUGAGAUACGGCCCAGACUCCUACGGGAGGCAGCAGUGGGGAAUAUUGCACAAUGGGCGGAAGCCUGAUGCAGCAACGCCGCGUGCGGGAUGACGGCCUUCGGGUUGUAAACCGCUUUCGCCUGUGACGAAGCGUGAGUGACGGUAAUGGGUAAAGAAGCACCGGCUAACUACGUG